AAAUUUUACAACCAGUUAAAUUUGUCGCUCAAUUUUAGAAGUUUAAAAGUUUGUUUCUGUUUUAAUUGUUUAAUCAUAAGAUUUGUAAUCUGAGGGAUAUGAUUAUCUUUUAUUCAAAAAUCGACGAGUUUUCCUGAGGAUGAGGACUGGAUCCUCGAAACAUGUAGAAUUUAAAUAAAUAUAACAUUGAAAAGUAUA
Onthophagus taurus is the source of this 198-nucleotide non-coding RNA. The record is from RefSeq and is a predicted model, not a curated record. Lineage: Eukaryota; Metazoa; Arthropoda; Insecta; Coleoptera; Scarabaeidae.